Molecule: ribosomal RNA, 429 nt
Filed under: uncultured bacterium
Lineage: Bacteria
Description: bacterial SSU rRNA
Rfam family: Bacterial small subunit ribosomal RNA
Source: RNAcentral
UGGGGGAUAUUGCACAAUGGGCGCAAGCCUGAUGCAGCGACGCCGCGUGGAGGAUGAAGGUUUUCGGAUUGUAAACUCCUGUUACGUGGGAAAAAAUGCUCUGUUUUAAUAGAACAGAGAGCUGAUGGUACCACGAGAGAAAGCACCGGCAAACUUCGUGCCAGCAGCCGCGGUAAUACGAAGGGUGCAAGCGUUAUUCGGAAUAACUGGGUGUAAAGAGCGUGAAGGCGGUUUUAUAAGUCAUUUGUAAAAGAGCUCGGCUUAACUGAGUACCUGCAGAUGAGACUGUAGAACUAGAGUGCAGGAGAGAAAGGUGGAAUUCUCGGAGUAGCGGUAAAAUGCGUAGAUCUCGAGAGGAACAUCGGUUGCGAAGGCGGCCUUUUGGCCUGUAACUGACGCUCAAGCGCGAAAGCGUGGGGAGCAAACAGG